UUGGAUGAGGUGAUCCUUGUUUGUGGAUCCACACGUAUCCCAGCUUUCCAGGAGCUUGUUAAAUCAUUGACUGGUAAAGACCCAAAUGUUACAGUGAAUCCUGAUGAAGUUGUUACUCUUGGUGCUGCAGUUCAGGCUAGUGUUUUUUCUGGGGAUGUGAGUGACAUUAUUCUCCUGGAUGUCUCACCAUUCUCUUGGACUGGAAACAUUGGGAGGUGUGAUGACCAAGAUCAUCCCGAGAAAUAGCACAUUGCAACUUCAAAAUCAGAGGUGUUCUCUACAGCUUCAGAUGGACAGACAAGUGUUGACAUAAAUGUACUACAAGGUGAAAGAGAGUUUCUGAGAGACAAUAGGUGAUGACCAAGAUCAUCCCGAGAAAUAGCACAUUGCAACUUCAAAAUCAGAGGUGUUCUCUACAGCUUCAGAUGGACAGACAAGUGUUGACAUAAAUGUACUACAAGGUGAAAGAGAGUUUCUGAGAGACAAUAGGUCACUCAGAAGCUUCCGUCUAGAUGGUGUUCCUCCAGCCCCACGCGGUGCCCCUCAGAUUGAAGUCAAGUUUGACAUUGAUGCAGAUGGUAUUUUGUCUGUUGCCGCUAAUGACAAGGGUACUGGAAAGAAGUAGGACAUUACGAUUACUGGUGCUAGUACACUACCUGGUGAUGAGGCAUUCAAGUUGAUCGUGGCUGAUCCUGAUACCAUUCUUGAUUCCCUCACACGUGAAGUCAAAGAAGUUGGCCCUGAUGGACAAGAGGUUAAUUGAAUGAUGCUCUGUUAUGAGAUCAGAAAGGUUGGAGAAUCCCUUGGCAAUUUCUGUAAGUUUCAAUUGAACUGCAGUGGGCUUGGCAUCAGCCUUUGUGAACCUUCUCGAUUACAAGUUAAGUUUUCUUCACUUAAAUACUUGAUUGAUUUUCUGUUUCUUACAAUUGUGUACUCAGUUCUGGUGAGAGAGCUUAUUAUCUUUGGUAGGUUGCGGGACCAAAGAUAGUACCAACUUAUGAAGCUUAUGGACUUUUCCCGCUGAAAGUACAUUAACUGGGAGGAUGUUUCCAUCUAUUUCAAAAGCAGUUGGAGUGGAUACAGGUGUUUUGGAGCUUAAAGAAAUAGGAAGACAAUCGGAAAUGUUGUUCUCACUAGAGAUAUCAGUUUAUACUUGCGAGGGGGUUUGCAUCAACAUGUGUACCUGCUAUAUUACAUGGAUUGCCUACAUCGAGUUUUCUGAUGCUCAAGCUUUCAACAAACCAAGCCUGCAAAGGGUAUAAAGCUUAGUUGCGUUUAUUUGAAUCAUCAGAAAGGGUGGAGAACAAAGCAGAUAAGAUUUGUAAGUUCCAUGUAUUCAAGUAUUGUAGGCGGUUAGUAAGUUUCUAUGUGUUUGGAACCUUCCAUGUGUUCCCUUAGAAAUUUGAUACUUAACAAAAAAAAAAAAAGUUUGGUACUUGAGAAAUUUUAGUUCUUUUGUAGUUUAUCUAACUGUUCAGUUCUUUCGUAAUAUAAAUCUGAACAGAAUGAAAGUGAUAUGAAUAUAUUGAAGAAAUUGUUGUUGAGUGUGGAUGAUGAAUGUAU
Long non-coding RNA from Papaver somniferum (opium poppy), 1563 nucleotides. RefSeq lists it as uncharacterized. NCBI's taxonomy places the organism in Eukaryota, Viridiplantae, Streptophyta, Magnoliopsida, Ranunculales, Papaveraceae. The transcript is spliced from 8 exons. The record is from RefSeq and is a predicted model, not a curated record.